AGCGGCGGAUGGGUGAGUGACACGUGGGGAACCUGCCCCUAAGUCUGGGAUACCAUUUGGAAACAGGUGCUAAUACCGGAUAAUAAAGCAGAUCGCAUGAUCAGCUUUUGAAAGGCGGCGUAAGCUGUCGCUAAGGGAUGGCCCCGCGGUGCAUUAGCUAGUUGGUAAGGUAACGGCUUACCAAGGCGACGAUGCAUAGCCGAAUUGAGAGACUGAUCGGCCACAUUGGGACUGAGACACGGCCCAAACUCCUACGGGAGGCAGCAGUAGGGAAUCUUCCACAAUGGACCCAAGUCUGAUGGAGCAACGCCGCGUGAGUGAAGAAGGUUUUCGGAUCGUAAAGCUCUGUUGUUGGUGAAGAAGGAUAGAGGUAGUAACUGGCCUUUAUUUGACGGUAAUCAACCAGAAAGUCACGGCUAACUACGUGCCAGCAGCCGCGGUAAUACGUAGGUGGCAAGCGUUGUCCGGAUUUAUUGGGCGUAAAGCGAGCGCAGGCGGAAAAAUAAGUCUAAUGUGAAAGCCCUCGGCUUAACCGAGGAACUGCAUCGGAAACUGUUUUUCUUGAGUGCGGAAGAGGAGAGUGGAACUCCAUGUGUAGCGGUGGAAUGCGUAGAUAUAUGGAAGAACACCAGUGGCGAAAGGCGGCUCUCUGGUCUGCAACUGACGCUGAGGCUCGAAAGCAUGGGUAGCGAACAGGAUUAGAUACCCUGGUAGUCCAUGCGUAACGAUGAGUGCUAAGUGU
This 742-nucleotide ribosomal RNA is filed under the name uncultured bacterium. RNAcentral's name for it is "bacterial SSU rRNA". It matches the Rfam family "Bacterial small subunit ribosomal RNA", at positions 94 to 823 of the family's 1533-position model. The record is from RNAcentral.